RNAcentral lists this ribosomal RNA (428 nucleotides) under Thalassiosira minuscula. RNAcentral describes it as "partial Bacterial large subunit ribosomal RNA". It matches the Rfam family "Bacterial large subunit ribosomal RNA", at positions 408 to 837 of the family's 2925-position model. The record is from RNAcentral. Lineage: Eukaryota; Bacillariophyta; Thalassiosirophyceae; Thalassiosirales; Thalassiosiraceae.
UUAAGUAGGGCGGGACACGUGAAAUCCUGUUCGAAGAUCGGAGGACCACCUCCGAAGGCUAAGUACUCCUUACUGACCGAUAGCGAACCAGUACCGUGAGGGAAAGGUGAAAAGCACCCCGACGAGGGGAGUGAAACAGUACCUGAAACCGAACGCCUACAAUCAGUUGGAGGGUCCUUGCGGCCUGACAGCGUACCUUUUGUAUAAUGGGUCAUCGACUUGGUCUCACAAGCAAGCUUAAGCCGUUAGGUGUAGGCGUAGCGAAAGCGAGUCUGAAUAGGGCGACUGAGUAUGUAGCAUUAGACCCGAAGGCAAGUGAUCUAGGUAUGGGCAGGGUGAAGGUGCAGUAACAUGCACUGGAGGCCCGAACCGUUGCACGUUGAAAAGUGCUCGGAUGACCUGUGCCUAGGGGUGAAAGGCCAAAAAAA